AAUAGAAAUGUGGUCAUUUUGGUCUUCUUCCGACUGCCAGUAAACCCUUGCCAAAGUUGGACAUACAUUUGGUUGCGCGGGAUGUAUAAUUUUUCACAAAUAUCAGAGUGGUGACAUUAUAUCCUGGUUCUUUGCAGGUUAAGAACCAUUGAAACAACUCUUUGCGGGGCCGUCUGUAACCUCUUGUCUAAGCCUGCUGAAUGGCAAAAUUCUGACCGUAUUCAAUAUAGUAGUUACUUUCAUUGUCCAUUCUCAGU
This 257-nucleotide long non-coding RNA is filed under the name Mytilus galloprovincialis (Mediterranean mussel). Lineage: Eukaryota; Metazoa; Mollusca; Bivalvia; Mytilida; Mytilidae. The record is from RNAcentral.